UACGUAUGGUGCAAGCGUUAUCCGGAUUUACUGGGUGUAAAGGGAGCGCAGGCGGCGCGUUAAGCCUGGUGUGAAAGCCCGCGGCCCAACCGCGGGACUGCAUUGGGAACUGGCGCGCUGGAGUGCCGGAGGGGUAGGCGGAAUUCCUAGUGUAGCGGUGAAAUGCGUAGAUCUUAGGAGGAACACCAGUGGCGAAGGCGGCCUACUGGACGGUGACUGACGCUGAGGCUCGAAAGCGUGGGGAGCAAACAGG
This 253-nucleotide ribosomal RNA is filed under the name uncultured bacterium. RNAcentral's name for it is "partial 16S ribosomal RNA". It matches the Rfam family "Bacterial small subunit ribosomal RNA", at positions 524 to 776 of the family's 1533-position model. The record is from RNAcentral.